This 491-nucleotide ribosomal RNA is filed under the name uncultured Acidobacteriota bacterium. Its description in RNAcentral is "bacterial SSU rRNA". It matches the Rfam family "Bacterial small subunit ribosomal RNA", at positions 355 to 864 of the family's 1533-position model. The record is from RNAcentral. Lineage: Bacteria; Pseudomonadati; Acidobacteriota.
UGGGGAAUCUUGCACAAUGGGGGAAACCCUGAUGCAGCGACGCCGCGUGAGCGAUGAAGCCCUUCGGGGUGUAAAGCUCUUUCGGCAGGGACGAUAAUGACGGUACCUGAAGAAGAAGCUGCGGCUAACUACGUGCCAGCAGCCGCGGUAAUACGUAGGCAGCGAGCGUUGUUCGGAGUUACUGGGCGUAAAGCGUGCGUAGGCGGCGGCCCAAGUCUGGUGUGAAAUCUCCCGGCUUAACCGGGAGGGUGCGCCGGAAACUGGGUUGCUUGAGUGCCGGAGAGGCAGGCGGAAUUCCUGGUGUAGCGGUGAAAUGCGUAGAUAUCAGGAGGAACACCCGUGGUGUAGACGGCCUGCUGGACGGCCACUGACGCUGAGGCACGAAAGCGUGGGGAGCAAACAGGAUUAGAUACCCUGGUAGUCCACGCCCUAAACGAUGCAUACUUGGUGUGGGCAGUUCAGUCUGUCCGUGCCGAAGCUAACGCGAUAAG